Molecule: ribosomal RNA, 253 nt
Filed under: uncultured bacterium
Lineage: Bacteria
Description: partial 16S ribosomal RNA
Rfam family: Bacterial small subunit ribosomal RNA
Source: RNAcentral
UACAGAGGUCUCAAGCGUUGUUCGGAAUCACUGGGCGUAAAGGGUGCGUAGGUGGCGUGGUAAGUUAGAUGUGAAAGCCCGGGGCUCAACCUCGGAAUUGCAUCCGAUACUACCAUGCUAGAGUACUGAAGAGGUGACUAGAAUUCUCGGUGUAGCAGUGAAAUGCGUAGAUAUCGAGAGGAAUACCAACGGCGAAGGCAGGUCACUGGGCAGUUACUGACACUGAGGCACGAAGGCCAGGGGAGCAAACGGG